This is a long non-coding RNA of Ailuropoda melanoleuca (giant panda), 3070 nucleotides long. RefSeq lists it as uncharacterized. The transcript is spliced from 3 exons. NCBI's taxonomy places the organism in Eukaryota, Metazoa, Chordata, Mammalia, Carnivora, Ursidae. The record is from RefSeq and is a predicted model, not a curated record.
CCUCCCUUCCCCUCGGCUGCCGCAGCCCGGUUCGUCGCGCGUCAGCGUGGGCUCCCCGGAGCGAGUCGCUAGGUAACGGGGCUGGCUCCGCAGACCCGCGGCCGGGGAAGCCCGCGCGCGCCGUCAGCAGCCGCGCCGCGGGGCGGGGGCCGGGGCGCACGGAACCUCACCCAGCGGGGCUGCAGACCCCGACUCGCACGCUGCCCCCUCCCAGGAUGCCCUAACCCGCGCCGAUCGCCACCGCCCAGGUGCCCCUCCCUCGCAGGGACCCCGACACCGCCGGCCCCUUCUCCUCACCACCCCCCCCAGCCUGUGCGCACCGCUCUGCGCGCGGCCGGGUGGGCGCCCCACUGCCGCGGUCGCCGUCGCCGCUGGUCCUCCCGCCGAGCCCCUGCGCGGGGCAUGAGGAGCCCCGGGGCGCCGCCCGGAGACGACCCGGCUGCGCGCACUCUUCGCCAGCGGCGGACGGGGACAUGAGCGGCGCGCACGGGGUCCGGCGUCCGGCUGCCAGCCCCAGCCGGCGGCGGCCAGCGGGUCCGCGCUGCCCGGGAGAAUGAGGCAGGAGCCAGCGGCAGCCUCCUCCUUCUCCUCCUCCUCUUCGCCCUCUUUCGGCUCCGGCGCCCCGGCCGGGCUGUGGCUCUGCUGCGUGCCCCGCGCGCCCCCCGCCCGCCUCCGGAUGCGCUGCUCGGUUAGCCUGGGGCGGAAGAUAAAGACAUUUGCCACCAAGAUGGUAAUCACGAGCGGAAAUGAGGAGGACAGAGAAGGCCAGGAGAGAGAGAGUAAGGAAGAGAGUGUCUUGGCGAUGCUGGGGAUUAUCGGGACCAUUCUGAACCUGAUUGUUAUUAUAUUUGUAUACAUAUACACCACUCUGUGAAUGGCGCGGAGGGCGCUUGGAGGCCUCAGGGGUGGCCGAAAGACGGGAGUCCGGUGUGUCCACAGAUCUGUGAUCAGACGUUGCGCCAACAAGCAGGCUUGACCUACACGCUGCUCGAGCAAACGCACCUUCGAACUUUAUACAAGGUCACACAAACACCAGUCCUGCUGCUGGGAGAAGACUAAAGCACAAUGAAUCCAACAAAACUCAUUCACACAACCAGGAACUCAGCGUCUUUGGCCCGGGGCCCGGAAGACCAGCCUUUGACGCCGGCGGCGCGCAGACGGGUGCGGAAACUCACGAUCCCGGAUCUCUGAUGGAUCUCACGCCUCGGGAAAGAGGAACAGACCAGCACGGCUCGUGGGCGCGUCUCCCGGGACAGGCGCUUGGCCUCCACUCGCCGAGCCGUUCACCACGAAAAACUAUAGGCAGCCCUUUGACAGACAUCCCAUCCAUCAAAAGUGUCUAACUAUUUGAUACUGGGGAGAUAACUUAUUUUUCUUUUUUCAUUGGCUUGACGUGUGUAUCUGUUCAUAUCGAGGUUUAUAAAUAUAUAUUUUUAAUAAAUGUGCUCUAUUUUUUAGCAUGAACCAAAUAUUUGGAGAGGCGCUCUUGGAGUUUAGAGCCUUCUUUGGUUUUAUCUGCUUCGCCCCGUAGACUGCAGGUGUUCUGUGGUAUAGCCUUUCAAGUCCUGCUUUGAGCAUCUUCCAUCUUUUACCUUCUCUCUCUCUCUCUCUCUCACUUUCUCCCUCUCUCUCUCUCCCCCUUUUUGGUCUGGAGGACAUUUUCCCAUAAUACCAGCCAUGGUCCUGGUCGAUGCAUGUUUUAAGAUUGUCCGGUGAGCGGCUUUUUGUUGUUCUAUGGGAGAUCUAAACCAAUCGUGGGCAUGGAGACCUUAGUUGCACCAUAUCGUUAUUGAGAAUUUUGCAUGAACAAGGGCUGAGUGAUAGAUCAGCUUCAAAGAACUGUAAAAAGGACUAUCACGGAAGGAGAGAGGGCAGUUGUACUUACAGAUCAAUGCUAGGAUGGAAUAUUUCAGCUUCUUCUUGGCAGCAUUUAUAUUUCAUGCUUGUGACCAUUCGUUGAUCAGAUUUUUAUUUUACUGGCCACAUGCCGUGCAAGAUAGGGAGACCAGAGGGGUAGAAGCCAGCACAGGCGCAUAAUUCCUUCCUUAGUGAGCUGCCUGGGACCUUUGUCAAAGUCUGUGAGGUGUAAAUGGCAUGGGGAUUCACUCCCCACUGUGAGCGCUCAACUAGGUGUUCCAAGCUGCAAGGACACCCCUGUGGCAGGUGACAAGAAGGGGACAGAACAAUCACCCCUAAGAGAUUGCUGUGCUUCUUAAAGUUCCUGGUUUACACCCACGAGAAGCUACUUCUUCCCUGGUAGGGAUGGGUGAAUAUAUAUAAAUUUACCCUCUUCCCCAGCUCCCUGAGACGGGCCUUUGCCUGGUGGUGACAAAGAGGGUCACAAUUCCUUUUGCUAGUGCCAGACUUGUCUGUGGACGAAAGAAGCAGCGACUUGCCUCGUUGGGUUCAAAUGACGCCUAACAGGUCUCUAACCGCCAGAUCUCUCCCUCCCCUUGUUGUGGUAUCUGAAAUUCCACCAUUAGAGAGUCAUUUCUUGUGCUCUUCUAAGGGACCAGGUUCUUUUAUAAAGCAGAUGCCCCUGAGCACCUGGCUCUGACAUUAUUCAUCCGGUGUCUUCUCUUCCCUACUGGAAGGACGUAGACAUGCAUUUAGGGCACACUGCGUGCCAGGCACCGUGCCAGGCACUUUAUAUUCCUUAGGUCACUGAAUUCCCCCUGUAACCCUGUGAGAUGGGGGGGUCUUUUCCCAGCAUCGUAGAAGAAAAGAGGGCUCAGAGAGAUCAUGUGGCUGAAACCCCUGAUCUGACGAAUUCCUUAGCCCAGCCGGGGCUGGAGAGAGAGGAAAUGCACAGGAGGGGAAGGUGCAGGAAAGGGCUUUGCUAAGGGCCAGCUCUGCACACCUCCCUCCCUGCUCCUCCAUAAAAAUAAAUAACCCUUGGGAACUCCUUGGACACUGACAGAAUGUCAUACAAAUGAAGACGAGGGACCAGAGGAGGCUGGUUAGAAAUCAAGCGGGAUGUCGGGGAGGGAGCUAUCUACUAGGUUCUUUGUGAUUCUAGAAAGACUGUGUGAAAAUUCUGAACAGUGAACAGAGUAAACAAUAAAGGUGC